AAAGAUCUCCCGAAAAAUCUGAUCCAGGUGAUUCCUGCCUUGCAAAGGGAGAGGGCAACUAUGAAGCUCAUAUUAAGAACAUCCUGGAAGAAGGAGGAAAAUUAACUGAAGCUUCCAGGCAAUCCACGAAGGAUGAAGCAAAAUAUGACACUGGGAGCCGAAGGAGUGAAAACUUACCUGACAGCAGUACCCCUGCCAGUCAAAAGAAGGAAGUAGUUGAAAC
Urocitellus parryii (Arctic ground squirrel) is the source of this 223-nucleotide non-coding RNA. The record is from RefSeq and is a predicted model, not a curated record. NCBI's taxonomy places the organism in Eukaryota, Metazoa, Chordata, Mammalia, Rodentia, Sciuridae.